CGUUAAAAUUUUAUCCAUUUGUACGGUUAAAAUUUCACGUGAUUAACAAAAUAACUAAACAACGAUACGUGACAUGCCGCAUGUACCUCAUGUUGACGUACAUAGACUAGUUUUUAAUAGCAAAAAUGAAUGAAAUUUUUAAUA
This 144-nucleotide microRNA precursor is filed under the name Gossypium hirsutum (cotton). RNAcentral's name for it is "MIR7502 microRNA precursor family". It matches the Rfam family "MIR7502 microRNA precursor family". Lineage: Eukaryota; Viridiplantae; Streptophyta; Magnoliopsida; Malvales; Malvaceae. The record is from Rfam by way of RNAcentral.